This 77-nucleotide transfer RNA is filed under the name Candidatus Parcubacteria bacterium. RNAcentral describes it as "tRNA-Val". It matches the Rfam family "tRNA". From Rfam's summary of the family: Transfer RNA (tRNA) molecules are approximately 80 nucleotides in length. Their secondary structure includes four short double-helical elements and three loops (D, anti-codon, and T loops). Lineage: Bacteria; Candidatus Parcubacteria. The record is from RNAcentral.
GGGCGCGUAGCUCAAAUGGUUAGAGCGUCUGACUUACAUUCAGAAGGUUUCAGGUUCAAGUCCUGACGCGCCCACAA